This 1228-nucleotide ribosomal RNA is filed under the name uncultured bacterium. RNAcentral describes it as "bacterial SSU rRNA". It matches the Rfam family "Bacterial small subunit ribosomal RNA", at positions 240 to 1457 of the family's 1533-position model. The record is from RNAcentral.
AUUAGCUUGUUGGUGGGGUAACGGCCUACCAAGGCGACGAUGGUUAGCUGGUCUGAGAGGAUGAUCAGCCACACUGGGACUGGAACACGGCCCAGACUCCUACGGGAGGCAGCAGUGGGGAAUAUUGCGCAAUGGGCGAAAGCCUGACGCAGCAACGCCGCGUGGGUGAAGAAGGCCUGAGGGUUGUAAAGCACUUUCAAUUGUGAAGAAAAGUUAACGGUUAAUAACCGUUGACCUUGACGUUAACUUUAGAAGAAGCACCGGCUAACUCCGUGCCAGCAGCCGCGGUAAUACGGAGGGUGCAAGCGUUAAUCGGAAUUACUGGGCGUAAAGCGUGCGUAGGCGGUUUAUCAAGUCAGAUGUGAAAUCCCCGGGCUUAACCUGGGAACUGCAUUUGAAACUGGUCAACUAGAGUAUGGUAGAGGAAAGUGGAAUUUCUGGUGUAGCGGUGAAAUGCGUAGAUAUCAGAAGGAACAUCUAUGGCGUAAGGCAGCUCUCUGGCCCAAUACUGACGCUGAGGUACGAAAGCGUGGGUAGCAAACAGGAUUAGAUACCCUGGUAGUCCACGCCGUAAACGAUGAUAACUAGCCGUUGGGGGGAUUUACCCUUUAGUGGCGAAGCUAACGCGUUAAGUUAUCCGCCUGGGGAGUACGGCCGCAAGGCUAAAACUCAAAGGAAUUGACGGGGACCCGCACAAGCGGUGGAGCAUGUGGUUUAAUUCGAUGCAACGCGAAGAACCUUACCUGGUCUUGACAUCCUGCGAACUUUCUAGAAAUAGAUUGGUGCCUUCGGGAACGCAGUGACAGGUGCUGCAUGGCUGUCGUCAGCUCGUGUCGUGAGAUGUUGGGUUAAGUCCCGUAACGAGCGCAACCCCUAUCCUUAUUUGCCAGCACAUUAUGGUGGGAACUAUAAGGAGACUGCCGGUGAUAAACCGGAGGAAGGCGGGGAUGACGUCAAGUCAUCAUGGCCCUUACGACCAGGGCUACACACGUGCUACAAUGGGAAGGACAAAGAGCCGCGAAGCCGCGAGGUGUAGCUAAUCUCACAAAUCUUCUCGUAGUCCGGAUUGGAGUCUGCAACUCGACUCCAUGAAGUCGGAAUCGCUAGUAAUCGUAGAUCAGAAUGCUACGGUGAAUACGUUCCCGGGUCUUGUACACACCGCCCGUCAUACCAUGGGUAGUGGGUUGCACCAGUAUAGUGGCUAGUCUAACUUAGUGAGGACAGUCAC